AUUGAACGCUGGCGGCAUGCCUAACACAUGCAAGUCGAGCGGACGAAGGGAGCUCGCUCCUGGAUUCAGCGGCGGACGGGCGAGUAAUGCCUAGGAAUCUGCCUUGUAGUGGGGGAUAACGUCCGUAAACGGGCGCUAAUACCGUAUACGUCCUGAGGGAGAACGGGGGGGAUCUUUGGACCUCACGCUAUUAGCUGAGCCUAGGUCGGAGUAGCUAGUUGGUGGGGUAAAGGCCUACCAAGGCGACGAUCCGUAACUGGUCUGAGAGGAUGAUCAGUCACACUGGAACUGAGACACGGUCCAGACUCCUACGGGAGGAAGCAGUGGGGAAUAUUGGACAAUGGGCGAAAGCCUGAUCCAGCCAUGCCGCGUGUGUGAAGAAGGUCUUCGGAUUGUAAAACACUGUAAGUUGGGAGGAAGGGCAGUAAGUUAAUACCUUGCUGUUUUGACGUUACCAACAGAAUAAGCCCCGGCUAACUUCGUG
RNAcentral lists this ribosomal RNA (484 nucleotides) under uncultured bacterium. RNAcentral describes it as "partial 16S ribosomal RNA". It matches the Rfam family "Bacterial small subunit ribosomal RNA", at positions 30 to 507 of the family's 1533-position model. The record is from RNAcentral.